CUCAUAAGUAAAUAGAUAGAGCAGAAUAACUAAUUAUUAUAGUCUGAACUAUUUUUUUAAGCGUCAUAUUUCUUCUUUUAACUGCUUUCAUUUAGACCUCAUGUGCUUUGAUGUUAUGUAACAAAAUACAAUACUAUAUUCUAUUAAGAAUUUUGCUAAUGGUCCUAGUUAUUAUCUCAUCUCUAUAUAUCUACCAUAGUACUCAUCAUCUCUAUCAGAUCUAACUACUUCAUCGUUAUUCCUGAUUAUCUCUCUACCUUUGCUUCAAAUUUCUUAAAGGCCUCAAAUACAUUAGUUUU
This 299-nucleotide long non-coding RNA is filed under the name Elaeis guineensis (African oil palm). RNAcentral's name for it is "long non-coding RNA (EGUI_LNC026126)". Lineage: Eukaryota; Viridiplantae; Streptophyta; Magnoliopsida; Arecales; Arecaceae. The record is from RNAcentral.